RNAcentral lists this long non-coding RNA (5687 nucleotides) under Taeniopygia guttata (zebra finch). Its description in RNAcentral is "lncRNA (ENSTGUG00000028836.1)". Lineage: Eukaryota; Metazoa; Chordata; Aves; Passeriformes; Estrildidae. The record is from RNAcentral.
GGUGUUUAGGGGAGCGGGGGCCGGGUGCCCCCGCUGGCUGCCGGAGCCCCUGGACUCCGGACGCGGAGCCGCCGAGCUGCAAUGGACUCUGCCCGCCGCUGGCCGCAGAGCGGAGCACACCCGCCGCCGCCGCCGAGGGAGAGCGGCCCGCCCGGAGCCGGCCCGCAGCGCGCCCCUCACCCGGAGAGGGACCCGGAGUUUCCUCUUCGGCAUCGCUCCGGUGACCGCGGGCUGUGCCAGCCGGCCGCCCAGAUAGGUUGCGUGGCAGCCACGGCGCGAGCGAAUAGAACUCCUUGGAUGCGUCGGAAGCAAGCGCCGGGAGCAUUUUGUGAUCUUUGUGGGAGGAAGGCAAAAGCCACCCAGGCCCUAUUCCCUCCAUCUUGAGCUUUCCAUGGUGAUUUGCAGCAGCACAGGGAAGUAUGAAGCACUGAGGAACAGAAGUCAGUAUUUAAACCUGACUUCACUUCAGCAUUAACGACCACAUAAGUUUCAGAUAACAGAGGACCAGGGGUAGAAUAGCAGUAGCACUUAAGGUGCCUGAUUUAGAAGUUCUGUUUUGCAUAACUAAAGAUUUGGGAGCUGUUCAGAAAAGAUGAUUAUGCAAGUGUUUUUAUUUACUGUCCUAACAGAAGAUGAUGAUCCGCAUUAUCUUACAUGCAUCUUGGAUGCAUCUGUAUCACCAUAUAGAUUUCAGGGGACCUGUAUUGAUUUAAGUUAGUAAAGAAACACAGUGAAGUUUUAAAUAAUUGGAAUAAUAUUCUCCCUCUCUUUCAGUCAGAUUUGCCCUUCAUGUUACUUGUGUUUCAUAAUCCUCCUAGCUCUCCAUUUCGUCAUUACAAGACCAGCAUCUCUACUGUAAAAAAAACCCAAAAAAACAGUGAGAGAGAAAGAGAGAGGACCCCCCCCCAAGAAAAAAAAGUCUUUUUACAAUCUGCUAUUUAUAUCAAUGUUUAAAUAAAUUUAGGGCACAAAGUGAUCCUGGUUUUUAAUAGGCCUAUUUAGUUUCAUUUACUUACACAGGAAUUUUUUUGGAACCAGAAGCUCUCAGGAAGAGAAUGUGUUCGAUGCACCAAUGCCCUUUAGGAGUUUGAUAAAAGACAUGAUAUCAUGAGUAUCAUCACCACUUCUGUUAUUCUUCUUACUUAGUAGCGACAAGAUUGAAUCACCAUUUUUAGCUAUUCUCCAGCAGAACUCGUAAUCUAUCAAUGUGUCAGCUCAACAGCAGUUUUCUCUUCACUAAUGUGAACCAGAAGGUCCAGCUAUCACUGAUUUUGACAUUUUUAUCUGAGAUUGCAUGUAUUGCAGAAGUUUGAAGCAGAUGAAUUAUAGGGUCUAUUACAUUUUCCUAAAGAUGUACAAAACAUAGACUACGUCACCUAAAACAUUUCAAACGAAUUUAUACCAGUUAACAUUCCUAUGCUUGAUGUUUCACAAGCCUUCUGCUAGAAGAACUAUUAAAUAUUUGUCUGAUAAAUAACAAGAAUGAGACCAAGUGUGGGUCUUGCAGUUUUUUGAAUGCCUCACAUUGCCCUCACUGUUGUUACAUAAUGCAUCAUAAAGAAAUACGUGCCUUCAUUCUCUUUAAAUCACUCCAGCAUGGAUAGUACUAAGCCUUCCUCCAAGUCCUCGUUAUGCAAGUCCUUGCUACUGGUAAUAGCUGUCAGCUCUGCAUGGUUACUUUCAAUGCAAGGUAACUGCAGACUUUUUGUAAAGCUCCUUGCAUUUCUGGAAUUUUCAGUGAGGUGAUUCCAGGGGUGUUGCUCUCUUUCUCAGCUACAAACUAAGUUAUUAUGAACAAAAGGUUUUCUCCCAUUAGAAUAAAUCCCAUUCAUUCCAGAACACCAGAAGGUAACCUGUUUUUUUUGGGGUAUUCUUUUUUUUUUUUUUUUUUUUUUCUUUUGUUUACUUGCCUCUAUAAGGACAUUCAUUAUGAGUAUCUGAAUGCACUUCAGUGUCAAAACAGUGGAAUAGACCAGAAUGCAGUAGUAUUUUGAAUGUCUGUUGGAGAAUGCAGGCAUAUAACUAAGUACUGAAAAAAGACAUAGCACAGUAAAAAAAUCCAUGACCAAUCUAGCAAAGCUAUUAGGUAACAAAAAAUCCAUAUGGGCAUCAAGUACUAUUAUUUAAAGUAAAAUCUGUGUUAUACAGUAUAAGCAGCAUUCAAGUGAAAUUGAUGAGACAUCUCUAUAGAACUGAAAGUAUCAUUUUUAAAAGCUAUGAUACGAUGUUCUGUAUUUCUUUACCUGGAAAGUGGAAUUUUACUCGUCAUUCUGUAAGGGUAUAAAAUUAACAGCAAGCACUUCAGAGAAUUAAGAAUGCUGCCUGAUUUGUGGAUUUUUUUUUUUCCCCUCUGUAAAACACAGACAUCAUUGGCGGCAAAAAAUCAGGAAAAACCUUUCUGGGUUUUCCAAUAUCAUGUAGAUCUUGUUGAAUAGCCUGUCUUUAAGAUGGCCUUGGUUUUAAAGAGACUGAAACAGGAAUAUCUCAAAAUUUGUCAUACUGACUAAAAAAUAUUUUCUCUUCGUUUUUACUUGUAGGAUAUGCAGGUCGUAACUCAGCAAUGUGUCACCAGGAAAGGAGAGUUUGUUUCAUAUUCCAUUAACAGAUCUUUUAAUUUAACACUGCUUUAUUGCAUUUCUACAUUUCUUUACCUUUGUUGCUUUUGUAAAUUUGAGGUACUAACUUAUUUGUUUAUUUCCAUUUUCCUACUUCUAGUUAUUUUGGAAGGUUAAAAUAUAAUCUGUUCAGAUUUUGGUAUAACACAUGGAAAAUAUUUUUUUUUAAUUCCUUUUGCAAGCAGUAGGUUGGUGGGAGGAGGUCUGCACUAAAAAAUAGUGUACCUAUGAAGUUGUACUCAGUGGGAGAUUAAAUAAAAAAGAGCAGGAUGACUGAGGCAAGUCAUUUGUCACAGAUGUUCAUGCAGUCAUGGUGUUUUAUUUUAAGCUGGAUUCAUCAAAUGUGCUAAGGAGUAAUUUCUGUCUGAUAUGAAGUUCCCAUCAAAGGAGACUGAGUGGUUUAAGUUUAAACCAUGGUUUGAAAAUACAGGGGAAUGUUACUGGACCGGUGACAGUUUGAUUCGGUAGCCAAAGUGGACACAAGGAAGUAAAUUGAAGAAUGCUAUUUUUGACCUAAAAUAUGUCAGGAAAAUACAUCAUUAAUAUAGUACUGUGGAGCAGUGACUUUACCUAGAAGAUGUUUUUUUUUUCUAUGAAGCACAAAGAUUUUACCACAGGCGUCUGAAUUAUGUAGAUUAUAAAGGGUACCGAUGCCGUUAGAAAGCAAGCAUGAAAUGGUGAUGUGUGAACCUCAGAUAUUUGAGCAACAUUUACUAACCACUUUUACAGUAUUUUGUAUGUUUAUAAUAUAGGUUUAGUAUUAAUUUUAUGUAGUGAAAAUGGAGGAGAUAAGCACUAGUGUAAUACUGAUUUGGGGUUUUGUAGAUAGGCCAAUUAUCAUAUUUAGCAAAGUACAAUACAAAUAAGAAGGCCCAGGACUAAGAUAACUUUAAAAGGGAGAUUUUAAAAAAAAUCAGUACUGGACUUAUUCUUUGUUUGUAUUUGUUGCUCUCUCUUUUAAUAUAAUUUACUCUUUUGUUACGUUUUUCUCUCUUCCUUCAGAAAUACUAUGUCCCAGCCCCGAAAGGGAGAAAUAUUAUGGCUACCUGUUUACUGAAGCAAAAAGAUUUUUUCCCAAACUGAAAUAUGUGCAUUAAUUUGCUAGACUUCCAGCAAUUUUUAUGUAUGGUAUUUCUGAGAAAGAGAUUGUAAUGUCCAUUUUAAUGCAGCUUACCACAGUAUAGCAGCCGUAAUUAAGCGCUUUUCUUUUUGGUAGUCGGAUAUACAGAAUUAUCAGGCUGUUUGCUUUUAUGUACCUGAAAACUGAAUCAGAAAAAAGUAUUUUUGAUAUGAUAAAUUUUCCUUUCCAGUCUGUACUUUCUUUUGAGUUUUCUGGGUAAAUGCUGUGCAGAUUGAUUAUCAGAAAAAUUGAGGCUUACGUAAUCGGGACAUAUAUUUUUCUACUGCCUCCCUUCCCCCAUAUAGCAUUCAUUUUACUAUGAAAAAAGAAAAAUUUUGAAAAGAAAAUUACUAUGACAUGCUGAUUAUACACACAUUUUCAUGGAACUGCACAGCUAAGCUAGUUGUAUGUAUUUAGUAAAAGAAACAGCAAGCAAAAUAUUAAAACCUUGAGAUGGCUAACUUUGAAAUUAUAGUCGUAAUUAAAUACAGCUUUAUCUAACAUGUUGUACCUACCUGCAUAGCAAUAAGUCGUUUUUCUUUGCAUAGGGAAUUAGAGCACUUCAAUGUAGUCUUUAUUCAUCAUAAGAAAAAUAAGAACGUCGUACCCCAUUUUUUUAUUCAUCGUAAAGCUGAUGCUCCUUCAUAAGGGAGUUGGUUUAAUACCUAACUUUCAGAGGAUGAUUUUCAGUGAUUCUUGUUGAGAAAAUAUAAGCAAAUGAAUCAGAACUCUGUCCUGUUAGAUAAUUACAAACUGAAUUAACUAAAAAGAAUAUUAUUAAAAUUUUAUCUAAAUAUGUUAACAUGAGCUCUUACCCAUAGGUGGCAGUCAUCUUUCACUGUAGCAGGGAUGCCAAACUUUUGGUUCGUGGUAUUCAUGCUUAUGCUGAAAUAAUUUUGAUGAGGUAUGCGUAUGUAUGUAAGAAUAUACAUGUCUGCAUUUAGGGAGAGGAGGAAGGAGGUGACAUUAACCAUAAAAUUACUUAAUAAUUAGGAGGAAUCUAAAUUGCUGUGUACAGGCAGUAAGAUAAGGAAUUACUGUAUUCUGGAGAAAAGGUAGAGGUAUUUAUAAAACCACAGAAGCACAUUUAUUUAUCAAUCCAUUGCUGAUGCUCCUCAAAACAAAGUAGUGAUAAUUCAGAAACCAGGUAACCCUACAAAUUGAGCAGAAAGGCAGGUAUCGGGCCAGCCUUAGUGAACACAACCCUAUAUCGUACCCAGUCCUCCAAACCACAUUUCUGUCAUCAUUUAUCUGUAAAUUACAGAUGCACCACAGUGAUGAUGUUGCCCUGGAAAUCACAGCAAAGAGGUAUCUUAAAAUUGAGGAAAUACAGAAAAAGUGCUCUGGGUGAGGGUGGCCUUUCAGUCUUGGAGAGCAAGCAGAACCUACAGGCUGCUGUGCUGUCCUCUGUCUCUGCAGGGCUGUGAUCGACACCCGUGGCAGCGCUGCGCAAGGGGAGGACGCUGCCUGCCCGAACAGAGAUUCUCAGUUGUGCCAUCAGCUUUUUUUAGGGAUUUAUGUGGUUUAUGGGGAUUUCCUUUUGCAAUACCACUAAGGAGGCCCUUGGGACCCCACCAAAACUGGAGGGUAUAGAAGGAACUAAUAAGGCCAGGUCAUCUCAGGCUAAAACAAACAGAACUCAUGAAACUACAAAUGUGUCAUAGUGAAACAAUAACAUUCUUCUGAGAAAAGGAGACUGAAACCCGAAAUUCCUGGGUAGGUGAAGUCAUAUUCUUUUUUCUGUUACAGCUGCACUGAAACUCUUUUCAGUUAAGAUUAAUCUAAUAUUGUGUCAAGAUAGGCCACUGUACACAUUCAGCAGAGGUCAGGAAUUAGCAUUUAACAAAAUAGAAAAUUGGAAAAAUAGGCAAUUAUGUGUUGCUGUUACAGUGUUGCACUGUGAUGCAAGAUUAAGGGCUCAGAAUUGAGCGGAAUGGUACAGUAUUAUUAAA